RNAcentral lists this ribosomal RNA (302 nucleotides) under uncultured Gammaproteobacteria bacterium. RNAcentral's name for it is "bacterial SSU rRNA". It matches the Rfam family "Bacterial small subunit ribosomal RNA", at positions 30 to 320 of the family's 1533-position model. Lineage: Bacteria; Pseudomonadati; Pseudomonadota; Gammaproteobacteria. The record is from RNAcentral.
AUUGAACGCUGGCGGUAUGCUUAACACAUGCAAGUCGAACGGUAACAUAAGAGAGCUUGCUCUCUUGAUGACGAGUGGCGGACGGGUGAGUAAUAUAUAGGAACCUUCCUCAUAGUUUAGGAUAAGCACUCGAAAGAGUGUCUAAUACUGGAUGUGAACUACGGUUUAAAGCAGGGGAUCUUCGGACCUUGCGCUAUAAGAUGAGCCUAUGCAAGAUUAGCUAGUUGGGUGGGGGUAAAGGCUCACCAAGGGCAACGAUCUUUAGCUGGGUCUGAGAGGGAUGAUCAGCCACACUGGGGACU